This 254-nucleotide ribosomal RNA is filed under the name uncultured bacterium. RNAcentral's name for it is "partial 16S ribosomal RNA". It matches the Rfam family "Bacterial small subunit ribosomal RNA", at positions 524 to 776 of the family's 1533-position model. The record is from RNAcentral.
UACGUAGGGUGCAAGCGUUGUCCGGAAUUAUUGGGCGUAAAGAGCUCGUAGGCGGUUUGUCGCGUCUGCUGUGAAAACGCGAGGCUCAACCUCGCGCCUGCAGUGGGGUACGGGCAGACUAGAGUGCGGUAGGGGAGAUUGGAAUUCCUGGUGUAGCGGUGGAAUGCGCAGAUAUCAGGAGGAACACCGAUGGCGAAGGCAGAUCUCUGGGCCGUAACUGACGCUGAGGAGCGAAAGUGUGGGGAGCGAACAGG